Molecule: ribosomal RNA, 397 nt
Filed under: uncultured bacterium
Lineage: Bacteria
Description: bacterial SSU rRNA
Rfam family: Bacterial small subunit ribosomal RNA
Source: RNAcentral
GAGCGGGCCCUUCGGGGUCAGCGGCAGACGGGUGACUAACACGUGGGAACGUACCCUUUGGUUCGGAAUAACGCUGGGAAACUAGCGCUAAUACCGGAUACGCCCUUUUGGGGAAAGGCUUGCUGCCGAAGGAUCGGCCCGCGUCUGAUUAGGUAGUUGGUGGGGUAAUGGCCUACCAAGGCGACGAUCAGUAGCUGGUCUGAGAGGAUGAUCAGCCACACUGGGACUGAGACACGGCCCAGACUCCUACGGGAGGCAGCAGUGGGGAAUAUUGGACAAUGGGCGCAAGCCUGAUCCAGCCAUGCCGCGUGAGUGAUGAAGGCCUUAGGGUUGUAAAGCUCUUUUGUCCGGGACGAUAAUGACGGUACCGGAAGAAUAAGCCCCGGCUAACUUCGUG